Molecule: long non-coding RNA, 1201 nt
Organism: Ipomoea nil (Japanese morning glory)
Lineage: Eukaryota; Viridiplantae; Streptophyta; Magnoliopsida; Solanales; Convolvulaceae
Exons: 3
Source: RefSeq, a predicted model, not a curated record
AGGGAACUGUCUCGAUGGCACUUGGUAACUGCAGCUCUUCUUCAAAGAAAUUAGGGAAUUGUCUCGACUACCGUUCUUCCACCGCCGGCGUUCUCUCUCUAGUGCAGCAGGAGGUCACCGGUCCUCCACCGCCGGUGUUAUCCUUCGUAUAGCAGCGCAACUGGCGUCCUCCUUAACAGAGAUCGAAACUUUGGUCUGAAUUAAAAGGGGAAGGAUCGUAGGGUAGCUUGCUCGUUUCUAGACCAAUCACUUCUUCAAAUAUUUCAAAUAUCCCUUACUUCACUGUCACAACUGAAUUAAGAAUGAUGGUAGAAUGUCAAUACCUUUUUCAGAAUUGCAAUGCUUGCUUUUUAUGAGUUUAAUACAUAUGCUCUUCAUCGCAAUUUGUUUUAAAUACUUGCCUCCAUUGUUGACGAUACAGACAUGCAGUUGGUGGCAAGUUACAAGAACUAGCAAUUGCAUUGUCUCUCAAAUGUUAAUCUUUUGAUUUUAUGGGGACAAUAGUUAUGAAAGUUUAGAAGAUUUUAGCAAUAUUCAGGUACAUAUCUUUAGCAUUUCCUAAUAGUAAUUUAGCUCCUUUACAUACAUUUGGAGUUGUUAUCUAUUGUUCCUAAUUAAAUACUUCAUAGAUACAGUCUGCUUGGAAGCAAAUCCUUAAGGAUCCCUCAACAGUAUAGAUAUUUUUUUAUUACUUUCAAAUCAAUGAACCUAAUGUAUCAAAGGAUGUAAGAACAUUAGUAUUUUUGUUGUCUUUGCAAGUGAAUCUUGCACUCAAGUUAGCUAGCUAUAUAGUUGUCUAUAUUUGAUGUUGUUGUAGAAAAGUGACUUGGGUUUCGUCCAUGAUUCCUUGUGCUUGCUUCCUAUGAAGGCUAGAUUAAGUUGUUGAUAGAUUCUUUGGCCUGAUAGCAGUUGGCAUCAAGUUCCUUUAAUAGAAGUCCUAACUUCUGCAGUUGUAAAGAAAGCUUACAGGAAAGCCACUCUGUGCGUCCAUCCACCCCGACAAAUUACAGCAACGGGGUGCAACCAUUCAGCAAAAGUAUAUAUGCAAAAAGGUCUUUUAAAAAAAAUAUGCAAAAGGCCUUUAAUCUUCUAAAGGAAGCUUGGAACAAGUUCAACUCAUAGGAGCGAUAAGUGGUAGGCAAUACAUCAAGCCGGCUAUAGUGCAGUUGUUGUAAUUUAUACAAUUUCCAAGUCACAGUUU